Molecule: ribosomal RNA, 958 nt
Filed under: uncultured bacterium
Lineage: Bacteria
Description: bacterial SSU rRNA
Rfam family: Bacterial small subunit ribosomal RNA
Source: RNAcentral
UUGACGGCAGCGGGUUGUAGCAAUACAAUGCCGGCGAGUGGCGCACGGGUGCGUAACACGUAUGCAACCUACCCUAUACUGGGGCAUAACCUUUAGAAAUGAGGGCUAAUACUCCAUGUAAUUAUGAGAAGGCAUCUUUUUAUAAUUAAAGAUUUAUCGGUAUAGGAUGGGCAUGCGUCCCAUUAGUUAGUUGGUAAGGUAACGGCUUACCAAGACUAUGAUGGGUAGGGGUCCUGAGAGGGUUCACCCCCACACUGGUACUGAGACACGGACCAGACUCCUACGGGAGGCAGCAGUAAGGAAUAUUGGGCAAUGGCCGUAAGGCUGACCCAGCCAUGCCGCGUGCAGGAAGACGGCCUUAUGGGUUGUAAACUGCUUUUUUGUGGGAAUAACCGUAGCUAUGCGUAGCUACCUGCAAGUACCAUAAGAAUAAGCAUCGGCUAACUCCGUGCCAGCAGCCGCGGUAAUACGGAGGAUGCGAGCGUUAUCCGGAAUCAUUGGGUUUAAAGGGUGCGUAGGCUGGUAUUUAAGUCAGUGGUGAAAUUUUCGUGCUUAACAUGAGAGCUGCCAUUGAUACUGGGUACCUAGAGUGUAUUUGAUGUGGGCGGAAUGUGUUGUGUAGCGGUGAAAUGCUUAGAUAUGACACAGAACACCGAUAGCGAAGGCAGCUCACAAAGUUACAACUGACGCUGAUGCACGAAAGCGUGGGGAUCAAACAGGAUUAGAUACGCUGGUAGUCCACGCUGUAAACGAUGAUCACUAGCUGUUGGCGAUAUACAGUCAGUGGCUAAGCUAAAGCGAUAAGUGAUCCACCUGGGGAGUACGUCCGCAAGGAUGAAACUCAAAGGAAUUGACGGGGGCCCGCACAAGCGGAGGAGCAUGUGGUCUAAUUCGAUGAUACGCGAGGAACCUUACCUGGGCUUGAACGUAUGGUGCAUUGCAGUGAAAGCUGCAUUUC